UGUACCCCUUUCUACACAGGUUGGGAUCAGUUGCAAUGCUGUGUGUGCCUGUAGUAUUGCACUUGUCCCGGCCUGUUGAGGUUGGUGGGGACAG
RNAcentral lists this microRNA precursor (94 nucleotides) under Chelydra serpentina (North American snapping turtle). RNAcentral describes it as "miRNA (ENSCSRG00000011201.1, ENSCSRG00000017054.1)". The stretch from base 8 to 85 matches the Rfam family "mir-92 microRNA precursor family". Rfam says of the family: This family represents the microRNA precursor mir-92. Human miR-92 has two predicted hairpin precursor sequences: mir-92-1 on chromosome 13 and mir-92-2 on chromosome X. miR-92 has also been cloned from mouse embryonic stem cells. The mature sequence is excised from the 3' arm of the hairpin. Lineage: Eukaryota; Metazoa; Chordata; Testudines; Chelydridae. RNAcentral also lists the same sequence under 2 other names. The record is from RNAcentral.